RNAcentral lists this small nuclear RNA (106 nucleotides) under Propithecus coquereli (Coquerel's sifaka). Lineage: Eukaryota; Metazoa; Chordata; Mammalia; Primates; Indriidae. The record is from RNAcentral.
GUGUUCACUCUAGCAGCACAUACACCGAAGUUAGAAUGAUACAGAGAAGAUUAGCAUGGCCCCUGUGCAAGGAUGACAUGCAAUUUGUAAAGCAUUCCAUAAAAAA